RNA transcript from Cucumis sativus (cucumber), 2145 nucleotides. It is a transcript of the gene named aminoacylase-1 pseudogene, with no coding region annotated. Lineage: Eukaryota; Viridiplantae; Streptophyta; Magnoliopsida; Cucurbitales; Cucurbitaceae. The record is from RefSeq and is a predicted model, not a curated record. The transcript has a single exon.
GCUAACAUAUCUUUGGAAAUGAAAGAAAUACAGAAGCUAAUCAUAACGGUCAAAUCCAACCACAUAUCAAGCUUAGAUUACAGUUUACAACCCUCUAUGACAAAUCCUUAGAUUAGUAUAUUACAAAUCCAAAUAUAACUUGUAUCAUCAAGCCUCUAGAGUUAAGAUGAAUAGGGAAGAACAAACCAAAUACACAAAUAUAUAUACAUAUACACAAAGUUUUAUAUGAUUAAUUUAGGGUAUGAUUCAAAGAAUGUAUAAAGUUUUAUAUAAUUUAGCUAAGAGUUAAAAAAGAAUUGGUGUGUUCUGUUGUAUUUCGAGACUGUUCAAGAUUGUUUUUUUCUUCCGACCCUAGGUUCGAUCGGCGGCUAUCUUUCCGAUCGGCAGCUCUCCCACUUACUGAGACUACUUGACUAUGUCGAACUUCCAUCUUCACUAUCGUCUCUUUUCAGUCACUCUUUAUCUUCUUCUUCUUCUACUCUCAUUUCCUCUCUCUUUCAGCCAAUCACAGUACGUUGAUGAUGAACCCGAUCAAGAUUCUCCGGUCUCUCGCUUUCAACGCUACCUCAGAAUCAAAACCGCUCAUCCAGAUCCCGAUUACGCCUCAGCUGUCGCCUUCCUCAGAUCUCAAGCACAAGAAAUCGGUCUCCAUACGCAGAUACUCGAGUUCGUUACAGGUAAGCCUCUUCUUCUUGUGACCUGGUAUGGAUUAGACCCUUCUUUGCCUUCGAUUUUACUCAACUCUCAUAUGGACUCUGUCCCCGCCGAGCCUUCUAAGUGGGUUCAUCCUCCAUUCUCCGCUGUCCGAACCUCUGAUGGUAAAAUCUUCGCCCGUGGUUCUCAAGAUGACAAGUGUAUCGCCAUCCAGUAUUUGGAAGCCAUUCGGAAUCUCAGAAAUCGGGAUUUCGUCCCUGUUCGUACGAUUCAUAUCUCGUAUGUACCGGAUGAGGAGAUUGGGGGUUCCGAUGGAGCUGCGAAGUUCGUUCAGUCGAAGGAGUUCAAGGAGUUGAAUGUGGGGUUUAUGAUGGAUGAAGGACAAGCUUCACCGGGAGAUGAGUUUAGGGUUUUUUACGCCGAUAGAUCGCCAUGGUCGUUGAUAAUCAAGGCUAAAGGAAGCCCUGGCCAUGGAUCUAGAAUGUACGAUAACAGCGCAAUGGAGAAUUUGAUGAAGAGCGUUGAGAUUAUGACUAGAUUCAGAGAGAGCCAAUUUGAAAUAGUUAAAGCAGGUGAAGCUGCUAAUUCAGAAGUCAUCUCUGUGAAUCCUGUUUUUGUCAAUGCCGGAACUCCUUCCCCCACAGGAUUUGUGAUGAACAUGCAACCGUCAGAGGCGGAGGCUGGGUUUGAUCUCAGAUUACCGCCGACCGCCGACCCAGAUGCUAUGAGAAGAAGAAUAGCUGAGGAAUGGGCUCCGGCACGGCGGAACAUGACUUAUCAGAUACUUGAGAAAGGGCCCAUAAGAGAUUACUUGGGAAGUCCAUUAAUGACGAUGACAAAUGCUUCAAAUCCAUGGUGGGCUGUUUUCAAGGCAGCCAUUUCCGACGCUGGAGGGAAGCUUUCUAAGCCCGAAAUCUUGGCUACAACUACGGAUGCUCGAUUCAUGAGACAGAUGAGGAUUCCUGUUCUUGGUUUCUCUCCAAUGAUUAACACUCCAAUCUUAUUGCAUGAUCACAAUGAGUUCUUGAGUGAUUCUGUGUUCAUAAGGGGAAUCAAGGUUUAUGAAUCCUUAAUCAGUGCUUUGAGUUCCUUCCAAGAGGAUGUUUCUUCCCAAUAAUAAGCAUUGCUCAUCCUUCAGAAUUCUCAUGGGAAUCAACACUGUAAAGUAUCCAUUCAGAAGGACAAUCUCAAAGGCAUAGCUUUAUGCAAAAGUAAGCUUUCUUCCCAACCCGACCCAAUUCACUGUUCGUGUCUAUUUGGUCUUUAAACUUUAAAUAGUUGUUUAGAAUGCUUUUCAUUUCAUGGGUCUUCGGAUACUUUCACGGAAAAAGAGUCGUAUAAAUGAUAAAUCUCAAUGAUAUAUGAAACUUUGUACCAUAUUUUCAUUGAGUUUGAGUUUAUAUUGUUGAAUAAGACUGUUAUGGUUGAGGAACUUAAAUACUCCUCCACCCAUCAUUGUUAUGGAGAAUCAAACCUUGAAGUUUCUUUUGA